This 578-nucleotide ribosomal RNA is filed under the name uncultured bacterium. Its description in RNAcentral is "partial 16S ribosomal RNA". It matches the Rfam family "Bacterial small subunit ribosomal RNA", at positions 355 to 926 of the family's 1533-position model. The record is from RNAcentral.
UGGGGAAUAUUGCACAAUGGGCGCAAGCCUGAUGCAGCCAUGCCGCGUGUGUGAAGAAGGCCUUCGGGUUGUAAAGCACUUUCAGCGAGGAGGAAGGUGGUGAGCUUAAUACGCUCAUCAAUUGACGUUACUCGCAGAAGAAGCACCGGCUAACUCCGUGCCAGCAGCCGCGGUAAUACGGAGGGUGCAAGCGUUAAUCGGAAUUACUGGGCGUAAAGCGCACGCAGGCGGUUUGUUAAGUCAGAUGUGAAAUCCCCGGGGCUCAACCUGGGAACUGCAUUUGAAACUGGCAAGCUAGAGUCUCGUAGAGGGGGGUAGAAUUCCAGGUGUAGCGGUGAAAUGCGUAGAGAUCUGGAGGAAUACCGGUGGCGAAGGCGGCCCCCUGGACGAAGACUGACGCUCAGUGCGAAAGCGUGGGGCAGCAAACAGGAUUAGAUACCCUGGUAGUCCACGCUGUAAACGAUGUCGAUUUGGAGGUUGUGCCCUUGAGGCGUGGCUUCCGGAGCUAACGCGUUAAAUCGACCGCCUGGGGAGUACGGCCGCAAGGUUAAAACUCAAAUGAAUUGCGGGUCUAGCUG